Molecule: small RNA, 79 nt
Filed under: Arabidopsis thaliana (thale cress)
Lineage: Eukaryota; Viridiplantae; Streptophyta; Magnoliopsida; Brassicales; Brassicaceae
Description: ATSL273170
Source: RNAcentral
AUUGAGCAUGUUGAAUUUGAUGUUGUAUCUACUAAGGAAGGAGAGGAGACGUCAAUUCUACUUAAUCACCCUCCUUGAG